AGUGAACGCUGGCGGUAGGCCUAACACAUGCAAGUCGAACGGCAGCACAGUAAGAGCUUGCUCUUACGGGUGGCGAGUGGCGGACGGGUGAGGAAUACAUCGGAAUCUACUUUUUCGUGGGGGAUAACGUAGGGAAACUUACGAUAAUACCGCAUACGACCUACGGGUGAAAGCAGGGGAUCUUCGGACCUUGCGCGAUUGAAUGAGCCGAUGUCGGAUUAGCUAGUUGGCGGGGUAAAUGCCCACCAAGGCGACGAUCCGUGGCUGGUCUGAGAGGAUGGUCAGCCACACGGGAACGUAGACACGGACCAGACGCCUACGGGAGGCAGCAGUGUGGAAUAUUGGACAAAGGGCGCAAGCCUGAUCCAGCCAUACCGCGUGGGUGAAGAAGGCCUUCGGGUUGUAAAGCCCUUUUGUUGGGAAAGAAAAGCAGCAGGUUAAUACCCCGCUGUUCUGACGGUACCCAAAGAAUAAGCACCGGCUAACUUCGUG
RNAcentral lists this ribosomal RNA (492 nucleotides) under uncultured bacterium. RNAcentral's name for it is "partial 16S ribosomal RNA". It matches the Rfam family "Bacterial small subunit ribosomal RNA", at positions 29 to 507 of the family's 1533-position model. The record is from RNAcentral.